Long non-coding RNA from Eucalyptus grandis, 580 nucleotides. RefSeq lists it as uncharacterized. NCBI's taxonomy places the organism in Eukaryota, Viridiplantae, Streptophyta, Magnoliopsida, Myrtales, Myrtaceae. The transcript has 4 exons. The record is from RefSeq and is a predicted model, not a curated record.
AUCAAGACAAAGACAUAUCAAUGGAAGUAGAGGGACAUGAUGAAAUGAGUCCACUCAUGGAAUUGCCAUUCCAUGGAGCUGAUGAAGUGGAAUCUGCAACCAUGGGCGCGACAAACAAGAGUCGGCUUUUAGUACAUCGGGACGUGUACUUGAUGGCUUUCGAAGUUCUUUGACUCCUAGAGUGGUGGAAGGUUUAAUUUGUACUCAAGAUUGGUUGAGAGCUGUUCGCGUGCCAAUUAAUGUUGAAGAGUGCAUCGAGAAUGCGGAACAAUUUGAGGCGGAUUUGGAUUGUCUUACCAAGGACAUUAUCAUUGGAAAAUAAACUUCAUUUUGUCGAAACUCCAAUUUUGUGGUUUUUGUCAGAGAUUUUGUACCACGUGGAACGCAAGGCCGAAGAAGGAGAAGAAGAUCGAGCACAUGAAGGACAAUGUUGAUAUGUGAUCAGCCAAAAAUUGUAUUACAACUAGUUAAUUGGCUAAAUUGCUAGCUUGUAUAUUACUGGAAUAUGAGAAACUCGAUGUAUUUUGUGGGAUAUGGGGAUGCGAGAUGGUCGAAUUAUAUACUUGGUUGUUUUUUUCAA